GUCCAUGAAGCGAAAAAAUAGUUUACUGUGUCACUCGUCCCGAUACCCGCAUCAGGUCUUUUAGGUAAGUAGCCUAUGGCCAUUGAGGCAUGAUAGUUCAGGGAAUUCGGGCCAAUUAGAGCUGUAACUUCGGGAUAAAGCUUGGCUCUGAUGAAAAAUCAGAACCGAUUGUUACGCGGAGAGCCCAACUGUUUAAUAAAAACGUAGUGUCGCGCUGUGGUAGUAUAGCCAGUGAACGCGACAUGAAUCCUGCUCAGUGCUGUGUCUGUUAAUAUGGUUCAAGCCAACGAAGCACCGGUAAAUAGCUGGGGUAACUAUGACUCUUAUCAAAGUAGCGAAAUACCUCGUCACUUAAUUAGUGACCUGCAUGAACGGAGCUAUGAGGUUCUCACUGUCCCAAACUGUCUCUCAGCGAACCAACUGUAGUGGGAACGGUCACUAGAUAUCCAGCGGGGAAAGAAGACCCUGUAGAGCUUCACUUUGGUCUAGUCUUGUAUAGUUCCUGCGGGGGUGUAGACUAGGUGGGAGAGCAAUCGAUUCUGAAAAACCACUACCCUGUUUGGAAUUAUGCUUACCUAUCACAAGGAAUAGGACUAGAUAGAAAGUUUGGCUGGGGCGGCACACCUUCGAAAGAGCAGCGAAGGUGUCCUAAGUUGAGCUCAGUGAGGACAGAAAUCUCACGUUGAGGAUAAGGCCAAAAGCUCAAUUUACUGUGCCUUUUUGUACUAGGAUCAGUUACGAAAGUAAGGCCUAACGAUCCCUAAAUAGCCUCAGGUGCGUGAGGAUUGGGGUGACAGACAAGUUACCUCCGGGACAACUGGCUUGUGGCUGCUAAGAGAUCAAAUCAACGCAGCUUUUUGAUUCUUCGAUGUCGGCUCUUCCUAUCCUAGUGAUGUACAAGUUGCUAAGGGUCGGAUUGUUCACCCGUAUUAGGGAUCGUGAGCUGGGUUUAGACCGUCGUGAGCCAGGUUUGUUUUAUCCUACUGGAUAUAGCAUCAUGAUAGU
Molecule: non-coding RNA, 1005 nt
Filed under: Trichomonas vaginalis G3
Lineage: Eukaryota; Parabasalia; Trichomonadida; Trichomonadidae
Description: Eukaryotic large subunit ribosomal RNA
Rfam family: Eukaryotic large subunit ribosomal RNA
Source: Rfam by way of RNAcentral